Molecule: ribosomal RNA, 274 nt
Filed under: uncultured bacterium
Lineage: Bacteria
Description: partial 16S ribosomal RNA
Rfam family: Bacterial small subunit ribosomal RNA
Source: RNAcentral
AUACGGAGGGUCCAAGCGUUAUCCGGAUUCAUUGGGUUUAAAGGGUCCGCAGGCGGGAAAAUAAGUCAGUGGUGAAAGCCUACAGCUCAACUGUAGAACUGCCAUUGAUACUGUUUUUCUUGAGUAUAGAUGAAGUGGGCGGAAUAUAUCAUGUAGCGGUGAAAUGCAUAGAUAUGCUAUAGAACACCGAUUGCGAGGGCAGCUCACUAAACUAUUACUGACGCUCAGGGACGAAAGCGUGGGGAGCGAACAGGAUUAGAAACCCCAGUAGUCC